Molecule: ribosomal RNA, 819 nt
Filed under: Kaloula picta
Lineage: Eukaryota; Metazoa; Chordata; Amphibia; Anura; Microhylidae
Description: partial 16S rRNA
Rfam family: Bacterial large subunit ribosomal RNA
Source: RNAcentral
UCCUCCAACAAACCAAAACCCUCACCCUAUACUGAAUGAUUCUAUAACCCGUAUAGAAAACUAUAUGCUAGAACUAGUAAUAAGAAGAAGACCUUCUCCAAAAUAUAAGUGUGAGCCGAAAUGAACAACUCAUCGGCACUUAACGCAAUUGAACCAACAGUAGUAACAUUACAAGAAAACCCUACCUCAACAUGCGUCAAUCUUACACUAGCGUAUUUCUGGAAAGAUUAAAAGAAAAGGAAGGAACUCGGCAAACUACUAACCCCGCCUGUUUACCAAAAACAUCGCCUCUUGAAAAAAUAUAAGAGGUCCAGCCUGCCCAGUGACAAAGUUAAACGGCCGCGGUACCCUAACCGUGCGAAGGUAGCGCAAUCACUUGUUCUUUAAAUGAGGACUAGUAUGAAUGGCAUCACGAGGGUUAUACUGUCUCCCUUUUCCAAUCAAUGAAACUGACCUCCCCGUGAAGAGGCGGGGAUGACACUAUAAGACGAGAAGACCCCAUGGAGCUUAAAACUCAGUACCAAUUACCUAAACCACAUUUCAUCUUAACCAGGUAAUUAUGGCCCCUAGUUUUCGGUUGGGGUGACCGCGGAGUAAAAUGAAACCUCCACGAUGAACGGACCAACGCUCCUAAUCAUAGAACCACAGCUCAAAGAAUCAAAAAAUUGACAAAAAUUGAUCCAAUUAAUUUUGAUCAACGAACCAAGUUACCCUGGGGAUAACAGCGCAAUCCACUUCAAGAGCUCCUAUCGACAAGUGGGUUUACGACCUCGAUGUUGGAUCAGGGUAUCCCAGUGGUGCAGCCGCUACUAAAGGUUC